This 21-nucleotide small nuclear RNA is filed under the name Phaeodactylum tricornutum CCAP 1055/1. RNAcentral describes it as "snRNA PTsRNA00016a". Lineage: Eukaryota; Bacillariophyta; Bacillariophyceae; Surirellales; Neidiaceae. The record is from RNAcentral.
UAAACAACAACCGAAGCACAA